Etheostoma cragini (Arkansas darter) is the source of this 1199-nucleotide RNA transcript. It is a transcript of the gene named transmembrane protein 241, with no coding region annotated. The record is from RefSeq and is a predicted model, not a curated record. NCBI's taxonomy places the organism in Eukaryota, Metazoa, Chordata, Actinopteri, Perciformes, Percidae. The transcript has 15 exons.
GAUCUUUAUCUCACGUCUUGACGUGUCAUAAGGGACAGUGAGGGAAGUUUCCGAUCUUAAAAUGUCUUUAGUUUGAAACAGGCGACGUGAAUUACAUUUAGGAAUAUGUUUUGGUAGAAGUCAUGUCCCUGCUGCAGUGUGUCGGCGGGUCAACAUGCAGUGGAAAAGACACGUCACUGGUCUCGUUUUUAGUAUUGUUUUCGUUGUAUCAUAUUUCACGAACAAGUUUGUCCUGUCAGUGUUAAAAUUCACCUAUCCAACCUUAUUUCAAGGAUGGCAAACAUUUAUCGGGGCAGUCCUGCUUCUACUCUCUGGAAAGUUUGGCUGGGUGGAAAUGAGCCGCAUCACCAGGUCAGCAGCGUUUUCCUGGCUUCCAGGUUCCCUCCUGUUUGUGGGAAACAUAUAUGCAGGUUCCAGGGCUUUAUCACGCAUUGACAUUCCUAUUUUCUUCACUCUUCAGAAUUCCUCCUAUGUUGUUAGUUACAUAAUCUUGAAGGUUGUCUAUAGAAAGAAGACACGAUGGCUGAAAGUAAUCAGCAUAUGCUUAAUGCUGCUCUCAGCCAUCAACCUCCCCCUCCAUGAUCCUCAGUUUGACUACAGUGGUUACCUUUGGGCUCUUGGUCAUCUGCUCUGCGUUGGUGCAUACAGAGCGUUUCAAGUUCACUACAAAUCAAGUAAUUUGAGUGACCUUGAACAACAGUGCAUCAACUACUUGUUCAGUGUACUGCUGCUGGCCAUGGCCGCUCACCCAACAGGUGACCUCAUGGGCGCCAUGGAGUUCCCUUCCCUUCAGUCCUACACGUUUCACUGUGGUUGCUGUGCCAGCAUGAUGCCUAACCUCAGUCUGAUUUCACAGUGCACUGCUGGGUUUUUUGUUGCUGCUGGCCACAGUCAAACUAAAAAGUGGAUUGUCCCUCGAGCACUUUGGGGUCUGGAUUUUUAUGUCUAAGAUUACUGCCAUGUCCCUCUCUCCAUUUCUUUUCUCCAUGGACAUUAACACUCCAUCUCUUAUUUGUGUGGUCAUCAGUCAUGUUGGAGAGGCCCUGCUGGUGUAUUCUCACAGAGACUCUCAGGUAUGAUGAGGAAAUUGCAGCUCUCUGGAUUAACCCCCCCACCAGCAUUCCAAAAUUAAAUAUUUUCCAGAAAAUGUAUUAUUUUUUUUGCACUUUAUUUUUGUAAUUUCUCAUCUAUGCGAUGGC